Molecule: ribosomal RNA, 449 nt
Filed under: uncultured bacterium
Lineage: Bacteria
Description: bacterial SSU rRNA
Rfam family: Bacterial small subunit ribosomal RNA
Source: RNAcentral
AACGAACGCUGGCGGCAUGCCUAACACAUGCAAGUCGAACGAAGUCUUCGGACUUAGUGGCGCACGGGUGCGUAACGCGUGGGAAUCUGCCCUUGGGUGCGGAAUAACUUCUCGAAAGGGAUGCUAAUACCGCAUAAUGUCGUAAGACCAAAGAUUUAUCGCCCAAGGAUGAGCCCGCGUAAGAUUAGCUAGUUGGUGGGGUAAAAGCCUACCAAGGCGACGAUCUUUAGCUGGUCUGAGAGGAUGAUCAGCCACACUGGGACUGAGACACGGCCCAGACUCCUACGGGAGGCAGCAGUGGGGAAUAUUGGACAAUGGCGAAAGCCUGAUCCAGCAAUGCCGCGUGAGUGAUGAAGGCCCUAGGGUUGUAAAGCUCUUUCGCCGAUGAAGAUAAUGACGGUAGUCGGAGAAGAAGCCCCGGCUAACUUCGUGCCAGCAGCCGCGGUAAU